GUGCUGUGAGGCAUGCUGGAGGUAUCAGAAGUGCGAAUGCUGACAUAAGUAACGAUAAAGCGGGUGAAAAGCCCGCUCGCCGGAAGACCAAGGGUUCCUGUCCAACGUUAAUCGGGGCAGGGUGAGUCGACCCCUAAGGCGAGGCCGAAAGGCGUAGUCGAUGGGAAACAGGUUAAUAUUCCUGUACUUGGUGUUACUGCGAAGGGGGGACGGAGAAGGCUAUGUUGGCCGGGCGACGGUUGUCCCGGUUUAAGCGUGUAGGCUGGUUUUCCAGGCAAAUCCGGAAAACUAAGGCUGAGGCGUGAUGACGAGGCACUACGGUGCUGAAGCAACAAAUGCCCUGCUUCCAGGAAAAGCCUCUAAGCAUCAGGUAACAUCAAAUCGUACCCCAAACCGACACAGGUGGUCAGGUAGAGAAUACCAAGGCGCUUGAGAGAACUCGGGUGAAGGAACUAGGCAAAAUGGUGCCGUAACUUCGGGAGAAGGCACGCUGAUAUGUAGGUGAAGUCCCUCGCGGAUGGAGCUGAAAUCAGUCGAAGAUACCAGCUGGCUGCAACUGUUUAUUAAAAACACAGCACUGUGCAAACACGAAAGUGGACGUAUACGGUGUGACGCCUGCCCGGUGCCGGAAGGUUAAUUGAUGGGGUCAGCGCAAGCGAAGCUCUUGAUCGAAGCCCCGGUAAACGGCGGCCGUAACUAUAACGGUCCUAAGGUAGCGAAAUUCCUUGUCGGGUAAGUUCCGACCUGCACGAAUGGCGUAAUGAUGGCCAGGCUGUCUCCACCCGAGACUCAGUGAAAUUGAACUCGCUGUGAAGAUGCAGUGUACCCGCGGCAAGACGGAAAGACCCCGUGAACCUUUACUAUAGCUUGACACUGAACAUUGAGCCUUGAUGUGUAGGAUAGGUGGGAGGCUUUGAAGUGUGGACGCCAGUCUGCAUGGAGCCGACCUUGAAAUACCACCCUUUAAUGUUUGAUGUUCUAACGUUGACCCGUAAUCCGGGUUGCGGACAGUGUCUGGUGGGUAGUUUGACUGGGGCGGUCUCCUCCUAAAGAGUAACGGAGGAGCACGAAGGUUGGCUAAUCCUGGUCGGACAUCAGGAGGUUAGUGCAAUGGCAUAAGCCAGCUUGACUGCGAGCGUGACGGCGCGAGCAGGUGCGAAAGCAGGUCAUAGUGAUCCGGUGGUUCUGAAUGGAAGGGCCAUCGCUCAACGGAUAAAAGGUACUCCGGGGAUAACAGGCUGAUACCGCCCAAGAGUUCAUAUCGACGGCGGUGUUUGGCACCUCGAUGUCGGCUCAUCACAUCCUGGGGCUGAAGUAGGUCCCAAGGGUAUGGCUGUUCGCCAUUUAAAGUGGUACGCGAGCUGGGUUUAGAACGUCGUGAGACAGUUCGGUCCCUAUCUGCCGUGGGCGCUGGAGAACUGAGGGGGGCUGCUCCUAGUACGAGAGGACCGGAGUGGACGCAUCACUGGUGUUCGGGUUGUCAUGCCAAUGGCACUGCCCGGUAGCUAAAUGCGGAAGAGAUAAGUGCUGAAAGCAUCUAAGCACGAAACUUGCCCCGAGAUGAGUUCUCCCUGACUCCUUGAGAGUCCUGAAGGAACGUUGAAG
This 1605-nucleotide ribosomal RNA is filed under the name Escherichia coli. RNAcentral describes it as "partial 23S ribosomal RNA". It matches the Rfam family "Bacterial large subunit ribosomal RNA", at positions 1258 to 2843 of the family's 2925-position model. RNAcentral also lists the same sequence under 1 other name. The record is from RNAcentral. Lineage: Bacteria; Pseudomonadati; Pseudomonadota; Gammaproteobacteria; Enterobacterales; Enterobacteriaceae.